This 451-nucleotide ribosomal RNA is filed under the name uncultured bacterium. Its description in RNAcentral is "partial 16S ribosomal RNA". It matches the Rfam family "Bacterial small subunit ribosomal RNA", at positions 354 to 796 of the family's 1533-position model. The record is from RNAcentral.
GUGGGGAAUAUUGGACAAUGGGGGGAACCCUGAUCCAGCCAUGCCGCGUGUGUGAAGAAGGCCUUUUGGUUGUAAAGCACUUUAAGCGAGGAGGAGGCUACCGAGAUUAAUACUCUUGGAUAGUGGACGUUACUCGCAGAAUAAGCACCGGCUAACUCUGUGCCAGCAGCCGCGGUAAUACAGAGGGUGCAAGCGUUAAUCGGAUUUACUGGGCGUAAAGCGCGCGUAGGUGGCCAAUUAAGUCAAAUGUGAAAUCACCGAGCUUAACUUGGGAAUUGCAUGCGAUACUGGUUGGCUAGAGUAUGGGAGAGGAUGGUAGAAUUCCAGGUGUAGCGGUGAAAUGCGUACAGAUCUGGAGGAAUACCGAUGGCGAAGGCAGCCAUCUGGCCUAAUACUGACACUGAGGUGCGAAAGCAUGGGGAGCAAACAGGAUUAGAUACCCUUGUAGUCC